UGGGUAACCUGCCUCAAAGAGGGGAAUAGCCUCCCGAAAGGGAGAUUAAUACCGCAUAAUAUGUUUUAGUCGCAUGACUUAAACAUCAAAGGAUUUUCUUUUAGUAAUUCCACUUUGAGAUGGACCCGCGGCGCAUUAGCUAGUUGGUGAGGUAAUGGCUUACCAAGGCGACGACGGGUAGCCGGCCUGAGAGGGCGACCGGCCACACUGGGACUGAGACACGGCCCAGACUCCUACGGGAGCAGCAGG
This 249-nucleotide ribosomal RNA is filed under the name uncultured bacterium. RNAcentral's name for it is "partial 16S ribosomal RNA". It matches the Rfam family "Bacterial small subunit ribosomal RNA", at positions 118 to 354 of the family's 1533-position model. The record is from RNAcentral.